UCUCCAGGUGUUUUCCGCGGGUUUCCCCGCCCCGCGGACGAAAUCCUGGAGCGUUCCGGCGGGCUGGCGCUGCGCAAGUGGGGGCGGCCGCCUAGGUUCCCCCUCCCUUGGAAGAAAGCAGCUUUUAUGAAGUAAGAAGGAGGAAGCCCCAGGAACAGGAAUCUCACCUUGAAGGUCACUCCUCGGACCUCAGACUUCUCAGCCACAGCUUUUGAGCAGAGGCAGGAUACUCCUAGAAAGGAGCAGGUCCUGGGUUUGCAUAGUCCGCAGUAGCAGUUCUUUAUUCUGCUCAGAAUGAGCAUUGCCCCGCUAUCACCGCAUCCAGAGGGCCUCACCAUGAUGAAAGGUCUGGACCAAGCUUCAGGAAAGAUAGCUGUACAUUCAACCUUCUCUGUACUUUCCCAAAAGGAACAGAAAAAGAACAAAUCCCAGGUGAGCUGUUUUUCAUUUCUCACAUUGUUUUCCAUUGCAUAAAACAAUGAAGAUAAAAAUGAUAAAAGCU
Non-coding RNA from Leptonychotes weddellii (Weddell seal), 502 nucleotides. The record is from RefSeq and is a predicted model, not a curated record. Lineage: Eukaryota; Metazoa; Chordata; Mammalia; Carnivora; Phocidae.